Molecule: microRNA, 22 nt
Filed under: Pan troglodytes (chimpanzee)
Lineage: Eukaryota; Metazoa; Chordata; Mammalia; Primates; Hominidae
Also listed under: 1 other name
Description: ptr-miR-663a
Gene: ptr-miR-663a
Source: miRBase by way of RNAcentral
AGGCGGGGCGCCGCGGGACCGC